GACGAACGCUGGCGGCGUGCCUAAUACAUGCAAGUAGAACGCUGAAGAGAGGAGCUUACUCUUCUUGGAUGAGCUGCGAACGGGUGAGUAACGCGUAGGUAACCUGCCUUGUAGCGGGGGAUAACUAUUGGAAACGAUAGCUAAUACCGCAUAACAAUGGAUGACACAUGUCAUUUAUUUGAAAGGGGCAAUUGCUCCACUACAAGAUGGACCUGCGUUGUAUUAGCUAGUAGGUGAGGUAAUGGCUCACCUAGGCGACGAUACAUAGCCGACCUGAGAGGGUGAUCGGCCACACUGGGACUGAGACACGGCCCAGACUCCUACGGGAGGCAGCAGUAGGGAAUCUUCGGCAAUGGGGGCAACCCUGACCGAGCAACGCCGCGUGAGUGAAGAAGGUUUUCGGAUCGUAAAGCUCUGUUGUAAGUCAAGAACGGGUGUGAGAGUGGAAAGUUCACACUGUGACGGUAGCUUACCAGAAAGGGACGGCUAACUACGUG
RNAcentral lists this ribosomal RNA (497 nucleotides) under uncultured bacterium. RNAcentral's name for it is "partial 16S ribosomal RNA". It matches the Rfam family "Bacterial small subunit ribosomal RNA", at positions 28 to 507 of the family's 1533-position model. The record is from RNAcentral.